AGUAAAAAACUCUCGUGCUGAGAGAUUAACUGAAAAAUUGUAAUUUACAAAGAUCCACAAAAGUUAGAUAUUGAAAUCAAUCACACUUUUAUAGACAAAAUUGGCUCAGAAACUUGCUAUCAUCAGAAAUAAAUAAUAUUCACUUCAAUCAAGAUGGCGGACUGUAACUUCAGUUCAGGUAAAAUAGCCUAUGACAUAUAUAGGAGACAAAUUUGUUUGCUUCCCUUAUAUAUAUGAAUGUCUCAACAAAAUUAUGACCAUUUUGUUCAAAUUUCAUUUUAAUUUCAAAAUUCUUGGGUCAUGGAUAUACUUGCAUGUACAUGUACUCUAACAUAAAUUUGGUAUUUUCAAUUAAAUAUUCUGCUUACCUACUUUCCCAAGGUAAGGUUAAAGUAGGCCUGGGGGCCACUUACCCACAGUCAAGGAUUAUUUGGCGGGCUUGUAUAAACCUCCUCUGAAACAAUAAAGAUAUAUUUUUCCAUAUCAAAAGUCGAUCAUAAAACACCACGAUUAAAGGAAUGUCUGUAGAAAUGUCGGAAAGAAUUUUUUUGAUCCGGUGGACCCAGAGUUUCGGGUAUUCACUGGCGACUCCUAGUCGUAAUAGCAAGUGACUUUUAUUUGAAAAUUCCGAAAUCAAACACUAUUUAAAAAGUUUUUAACGCUUUGCUUACAUUUUCAUGUUGCAAAUAUUCUGCGUAAUCAUUAACUUUAGCUAUUGAUGAAUAUGCUUUCUCCUUACUGAAUUUUCCUUCAUGAUUAUAUAAAAAAUUACUGUUGAUUUAUUUAAAAAAUAUAUGACAUGUACCCUUCGUUAACCACCCUUCACAUUCACCUAUCAUCCUCGUGCCUUUUGGCACGCAGGACCUCCACAGAGCAUCUCGCUUCAUUCCACAACUGUCAGCCAGCAUUGGCCCUCUCCAUCUCUAUUGUGUGCCGCCAAUUUAAGUUGUUUUUGGUCAUCCGUGCUUUCUUCAUCCUUCGGGUAAUAUAAUAUACAGUAGUAAUGCUAAUACUUUUAUUUCCUUUAACACCAGAGACAAGUUUGUUGGCCAUGAUUUGGUUGGCCACCUUCUGCCUGUUGUUGGGUGUCAGGAGUUCUAGCGCUCAAUAUUCCGGCUGUACAGACACUUCCCUUAAUUACCAAGGUUACACGUAUACAAUAGACCCAACAACUCAACAGAAAGUGUGGUCCCACUGCGGGUUUCCGAAUCCUAGCUACGACUACGCCCUCUGUGGCCUGACUUACACGUCUGGCGAGCAUUUUCUCUGUGACCCGGAUGGACUUUUGACGUCACAAAUUGAUGCUAUUGACUUGGCCCUCCAGAACAUCCAAACGAACACUUCCACGUUGUGCACUAGUGCUGACGGAGAUUCCGAAAGUUUUAUCGUGUCCAUUGCCCUCAUUAAUCACACUCGCAUAGCAGACCUGUCGUCUGCCAGUCUUUGUAUCAACAAUUGUGGGGAGCUGCAGCCUGUCACGAACACCUCAGGCAGUUUGCUAUCUGACGGACACAAGACGGCCAUUGCAGAAAACUUUGGUGACUACCUUAGGACUGGUUGGGGGUUUGGCUCCUGCGGAAAUGACGUACUUAUAUUUUACGCCCAGGAUUUGGACAAGGUUCAUGUAGCAGUUGGAUCAAAGGCAUCUGGUCUCGUAACUUCCGACGUCAUAAAAUCCAUCAAGGAGACAUUUGCGUCAUAUAAAAACAACGGGAGGCUCGCGGAAGGGCUCCUUGUGAUAGCCGAGAAACUGCGCACCACGCUGCGCGGUGUAACCCCAGCCCACGUGCUUCUGAUCCUGAACAUGAUCGUUGUAGUGUUGACGGCUGCAUUCCUCGUCUUCUUCCUGCAUCUUCGAUCAGUGGAAUUUAAUGUUUGGGGUCGGGAGGGACUUUGGAAGAUCCCAGAGUACCUUUGUUACUUGCUGUCUGGAGUUUGGAUGAUAAACGGACUUCUGUUCGGUGUUAUUUACAUGUCUAACAAGGCGCCAUAUUGGGCAACGUUCUUUUCCGGAAUAGUGGGGCUAGCGUGUAUCAUCAUGUACAUAUUUGAAGAACAACUUUUUGACACGUAUUCAAACAGUGGAACCUACACGUUAAACGUUACGUCAUAAUAACAAAGUAACUAAAUUAAUUUUCCACUGUAAAAUUACCCAGUAUUUAAUGAAUUUAGAUGUACAUGAGCAUAUCUUCAUAGAUUUCACACCAUUUAGCUGCAUGUGACCUUUAACUUGUAAAAUUCACUUGAGUUUUUAAAAUCAAUGUAAUGUAUGUACAUUUUAAAAUUAUAUUACAUGUAUAUAUUCAACUAGUUCUAACAAGUUUCUGGUAAUUUCAGAAUUCCUCGCACUUCUAUCAAUCCGUCCAUUUUAGUUCAACUUCUGAUGAAAAUCGGUUCUACUCUAUCAGUCAAUACCAAAUAUGUCCAUUUUAGGCUUUCAUGAUAUUUUUACAUGCAAACGAAAUGGUGGCAUAUUUUCUGAAGCACCCUUUACACAUAGUUGUCCCAGUAUUCCAAACUUUCGAGUCUCAUCCUAAUACAUGCAUAUGAUUGAUUGGUGAGUAAACAUAAACAUAUCUGUUUAGGUAGAUUAACUCAGAUUGACGCUGUGGCCCCUGGACCUCUGUUAGAUGUUUUAACAUUUUCAUGAUAUACAGUGUACAUACACAUGAUAUUGUAAUAUUUUUUAAAUUGUCAAUUCACCUGUAAACAUCUAUCUGCAUUACUCAUAAUUAUGUUUAAUAUCCAUUUACAUGGGAUGCUGGUCAUCCACUGUCUUUGCCUAAAUUAAACAAUUUUAAACAUUG
Ostrea edulis (European flat oyster) is the source of this 2807-nucleotide RNA transcript. RefSeq lists it as uncharacterized. NCBI's taxonomy places the organism in Eukaryota, Metazoa, Mollusca, Bivalvia, Ostreida, Ostreidae. The transcript is spliced from 5 exons. The record is from RefSeq and is a predicted model, not a curated record.